ACGAACGCGGGCGGCGUGCGUAACACAUGCAAGUCGAACGGAAAGGCCCCUUUGGGGGUACUCGAGUGGCGAACGGGUGAGUAACACGUGAGUAACCUGCCCUUGACUUCGGGAUAACUUCAGGAAACUGGGGCUAAUACCGGAUAGGAAUCCUUGCUGCAUGGUGGGGGUUGGAAAGCUUCGGCGGUUUUGGAUGGACUCGCGGCUUAUCAGCUUGUUGGUGGGGUAGUGGCUUACCAAGGCUUUGACGGGUAGCCGGCCUGAGAGGGCGACCGGCCACAUUGGGACUGAGAUACGGCCCAGACUCCUACGGGAGGCAGCAGUGGGGAAUAUUGCACAAUGGGCGGAAGCCUGAUGCAGCAACGCCGCGUGCGGGAUGACGGCCUUCGGGUUGUAAACCGCUUUCAGCAGGGGCGAAGCUUGUGGUGACGGUACCUGCAGAAGAAGCACCGGCUAACUACGUG
RNAcentral lists this ribosomal RNA (464 nucleotides) under uncultured bacterium. RNAcentral describes it as "partial 16S ribosomal RNA". It matches the Rfam family "Bacterial small subunit ribosomal RNA", at positions 29 to 507 of the family's 1533-position model. The record is from RNAcentral.